This 821-nucleotide long non-coding RNA is filed under the name Daucus carota (carrot). RNAcentral describes it as "long non-coding RNA (DCAR_LNC007599)". The record is from RNAcentral. Lineage: Eukaryota; Viridiplantae; Streptophyta; Magnoliopsida; Apiales; Apiaceae.
ACUAGGUUUUGAAAUCCCCCUACGGACUUAAUUGCUCGAGUAACAAAGGCCACAAAACGAGACUAGCCAAUCUACUUUUGCCCAUUUAUCUAAAGAUUUUAUCUAUAAAGAACAAUGGGUAUUGAAGUAGUUAUUCCUUUUCUUUUCUCUUUUUUUUUCUAUAUUUCUUUUUUUUAUUAUUUGCAAAGGUUCGAUUCGACAUUGUUUCAACAUGUGGGUUCUCUCUCAGGUAUCGAAUAAUAUCACUAGACAAUCUCUCCAUCAAAGGUCUUGUGCAAAUGUGUGUGCCAUCUUGGAAUUUAAAGUACAAAUCGGUCGAUACAAGUUUCAAAAAGACAACCUUACUCAACUACGUUCAAAUUAUCUAAAAGACACUACAUAUAUAUACUUUUCGAAAAUAUGCUAAACACCAACUACUCCUAAAGUUCGAGUGAGGGAAAGACAAAUUAGCUAAAAGUAUCUCUAUUUUUGGAUUUUUCUAAUUUUUCAUUUUUUAGGGUUUUUCAUUUUUUAAGAAUUACACUAAAGCCCUCCCCAUACCUAAAUCAUGCAUUGUCCUCAAUGUAUGCAAAAGAGAGAAUUGAAAUGAGAGAGUAAAGAGGAAAAAUACCUGAAUAGGGGAUGAAGGGGAUUUUUAUUAACGAACGAAGCACUAACACGACCCACACACUCACACAUUUCCUUCCCCAUACCUGAAUUUCACGAGGGAAGGUUCGAAGGAGGAACCACUUCAGCCGAUUCCGGAAGGAAAUAUGGGAGGAAGCUUCGAGAAAGAGUCAAAAUGUGUACGAAAAUUUUUAGGCACAAAGACUUUCUCUAGC